Molecule: ribosomal RNA, 614 nt
Filed under: Sardina pilchardus (European sardine)
Lineage: Eukaryota; Metazoa; Chordata; Actinopteri; Clupeiformes; Clupeidae
Description: partial 16S ribosomal RNA
Rfam family: Bacterial large subunit ribosomal RNA
Source: RNAcentral
UCGCCUGUUUAUCAAAAACAUCGCCUCCUUCCCCUACUGUUUAUAGGAGGUCCCGCCUGCCCUGUGACCAAAAGUUUAACGGCCGCGGUAUUUUAACCGUGCGAAGCUAGCGCAAUCAAUUGUCUUUUAAAUGGAGACCUGUAUGAAUGGCAUAACGAGGGUUUGACUGUCUCUUUUUCCUGGUCAGUGAAACUGAUCUGCCCGUGCAGAAGCGGGCAUACCGCCACAAGACGAGAAGACCCUAUGGAGCUUUAGACGCUAACCAACCCCGAAAAGCACCCUACGCCAGGGCCCAAACAACGUGGUUUUGGCACAACCGUCUUCGGUUGGGGCGACCGCGGGAGAUAGCACAGCUCCCGAGUGGAUGGGGGAAACCCUAAAACCAAGAGCUACAGCUCGAAGUCACAAAACAUUUGACCAACAAUGAUCCGGCUUCAUGCCGACCAACGGACCAAGUUACCCUAGGGAUAACAGCGCAAUCCCCUCCCAGAGUUCAUAUCGACGAGGGGGUUUACGACCUCGAUGUUGGAUCAGGACAUCCUAAUGGUGCAGCCGCUAUUAAGGGUUCGUUUGUUCAACGAUUAAAGUCCUACGUGAUCUGAGUUCARACCGGA